RNAcentral lists this long non-coding RNA (835 nucleotides) under Mytilus galloprovincialis (Mediterranean mussel). The record is from RNAcentral. Lineage: Eukaryota; Metazoa; Mollusca; Bivalvia; Mytilida; Mytilidae.
UCCAUGGGCGCUUUUUUCCUUCUCCAUGUUCUCCGGGCUCUUUUCUUUUCCCGGGCACUUUUUCAAUUUCCCGGGUGCUUUUUCUUUUCCCGGGGAUUUUUUCUUCACCCGGGAGUUUUUUUAGUAGGACCCAAAUAAACAGUUCAAAAUUCAUCACAUUUAAAUCAAUAUUUAAUCGUCCAAGGCGUUUCAGGAAUAUCUUAAAAAAACUAAAACUGAUAAUCAUACAACUAAUUUUGACCCUGAAUAUCCAAUCAACUAAAGUCGAAUGGUAUGUGGCUGAACAUAUUUUAUGAUUAGAACAUCUUACUACUGUUGCCUUUAUUUACUGUAUUAUGUCAUACUAUAGAAUUUUUCACAGGUUUGAUGUUAAACUAUGUCAUUUGGAUAUUAUCAUCAUUCAUUCUAAUGCGACUGUCAGAUAAUGCUAUACAUAGUUUUUCAUAGAAGAUUUACUCAGAAUUAUACGGAGCGUCGGGAUCAGAUGGCCACACAAUACAGACAACUGUAUACCAAAUUUCCUUCAAUGCUUUUGGAAGUUUGUCUUUUUUAAUGUCAUCCUUCAGUAUUACAACAACCAUUGAUUCACGACCCUCUCGGAAAGCAUGCAUUCUUGUCAUUUCUAUUUCAUACGUUCCCCAGCUACUUUCCAGAAAAUCCUAAGUGAUAACAAAUACAAUGUUUCUACUUGAAUUUAUUGCUUCUACGAUGCAAUCGGCAAUAGGCUUCCCUACUUUAUAAUCCUUGUGGUAAAAACAGAGGCUGAAGCCUUUUGACUGCAAAUUGUCGUAGAGAGUUUUAACCCAUGAUAUGUCUUUGUGACUGUAUGAGAAAA